ACUUAGAAGAAUACCAUCAUAUCACCCUGAACAUGCUGAUUUCAUCUCUGAUUUUGGAAGCUUAAGUAGGUUUGGGCUUGGUUAGCACUUAGAUGGAGCACCAUGAGGGGAAUACCUAAGAUUUCUACGUA
This 131-nucleotide ribosomal RNA is filed under the name Pogona vitticeps (central bearded dragon). The record is from RNAcentral. Lineage: Eukaryota; Metazoa; Chordata; Lepidosauria; Squamata; Agamidae.